GAUGAAUCAAUGAUGAGAAAAGUAGAUUAAGCCCUUGUUCUACAGAGAGUCGACAGUUGCUGAAAGUCGAUGUCAGGACGUAUUCGAAGAUCAUCUCGGAGAUGUGUAGCUGAAACUGUUAAGUAAGCUAGACCGGAAAUUCCGCCGUUACAAUGGAACACGUACUUAGAAUGGUACGUUGAUCGAGAGCCGCAGUGUUUGUUUGUUGCGGAAGUAGGGUGGUAUCGCGAGUUAACUCGUCCCUAUA
Molecule: non-coding RNA, 247 nt
Filed under: Bacillus sp. (in: firmicutes)
Lineage: Bacteria; Bacillati; Bacillota; Bacilli; Caryophanales; Bacillaceae
Description: Bacillus sp. T-box sequence
Rfam family: T-box leader
About the family: Uncharged tRNA acts as the effector for transcription antitermination of genes in the T-box leader family. T-boxes are found upstream of many aminoacyl-tRNA synthetase genes and some amino acid biosynthetic genes usually in Gram-positive bacteria.
Source: RNAcentral